RNAcentral lists this ribosomal RNA (447 nucleotides) under uncultured bacterium. Its description in RNAcentral is "bacterial SSU rRNA". It matches the Rfam family "Bacterial small subunit ribosomal RNA", at positions 355 to 825 of the family's 1533-position model. The record is from RNAcentral.
UGGGGAAUAUUGCGCAAUGGGCGAAAGCCUGACGCAGCCAUGCCGCGUGAGUGAAGAAGGCCUUCGGGUUGUAAAGCUCUUUUACCAGGGACGAUAAUGACGGUACCUGGAGAAUAAGCCCCGGCAAACUUCGUGCCAGCAGCCGCGGUAAUACGAAGGGGGCUAGCGUUGUUCGGAAUUACUGGGCGUAAAGCGCACGUAGGCGGAUUGUUAAGUCAGAGGUGAAAUCCCGGAGCUCAACUUCGGAACUGCCUUUGAUACUGGCAAUCUAGAGUCCGGAAGAGGUUAGUGGAAUUCCCAGUGUAGAGGUGAAAUUCGUAGAUAUUGGGAAGAACACCAGUGGCGAAGGCGGCUAACUGGUCCGGUACUGACGCUGAGGUGCGAAAGCGUGGGGAGCAAACAGGAUUAGAUACCCCGGUAGUCCCUGAGCGGGCUGGCAAGGCGCAU